GACGUAGGGGGCGAGCGUUGUCCGGAUUUAUUGGGCGUAAAGAGCUCGUAGGCGGCUCAGUAAGUCAGGUGUGAAAACUCCAGGCUCAACCUGGAGACGCCACCUGAUACUGCUGUGGCUAGAGUCCGGUAGGGGAGCAUGGAAUUCCUGGUGUAGCGGUGAAAUGCGCAGAUAUCAGGAGGAACACCAGUGGCGAAGGCGGUGCUCUGGGCCGGAACUGACGCUGAGGAGCGAAAGCGUGGGGAGCAAACAGG
Molecule: ribosomal RNA, 254 nt
Filed under: uncultured bacterium
Lineage: Bacteria
Description: partial 16S ribosomal RNA
Rfam family: Bacterial small subunit ribosomal RNA
Source: RNAcentral